GUUACGCUAAUACCGCAUACGAUCUACGGAUGAAAGCGGGGGAUCGCAAGACCUCGCGCGAAUGGAGCGGCCGAUGUCAGAUUAGGUAGUUGGUGGGGUAAAGGCUCACCAAGCCAACGAUCUGUAGCUGGUCUGAGAGGACGACCAGCCACACUGGAACUGAGACACGGUCCAGACUCCUACGGGAGGCAGCAGUGGGGAAUUUUGGACAAUGGGCGCAAGCCUGAUCCAGCCAUUCCGCGUGCAGGAUGAAGGCCUUCGGGUUGUAAACUGCUUUUGUACGGAACGAAACGGUCUGCCCUAAUACGGUGGGCUAAUGACGGUACCGUAAGAAUAAGCACCGGCUAACUACGUG
RNAcentral lists this ribosomal RNA (355 nucleotides) under uncultured bacterium. RNAcentral's name for it is "bacterial SSU rRNA". It matches the Rfam family "Bacterial small subunit ribosomal RNA", at positions 157 to 507 of the family's 1533-position model. The record is from RNAcentral.